This 5563-nucleotide long non-coding RNA is filed under the name Sus scrofa (pig). Its description in RNAcentral is "lncRNA (ENSSSCG00065033552.1)". Lineage: Eukaryota; Metazoa; Chordata; Mammalia; Artiodactyla; Suidae. The record is from RNAcentral.
UUUAAAUUAUUUUCACUCUUCUCUUUAUUGCCACCUCCUCCUCCUGGAGAUCACAGCUAAUGUCACCUUUACCAUCUCCUCCACUGGGUAGAGCCUGGACAUCUGGCACCUGGGCACUGGUCCUGCCUGGGCACUGCCACUUCCAUUCUCAUGACAGGAGCAAAGUGCCUGCCCUGUGGAGUGCCUUGACACUUUACCCCAAUAGCACGCUUAACACAAAGGAUCUCAGAGUGUCUUGGGGAAGAUGUGAUCUGUGCCAAGCUCAGUCCUUUUCCUGGACCCUCUGCAGAGAAGCCAGGGCAUUCUCCAGCCUGUGCUAGAAAUGCGACAAGCUCAGGAAUUAAGGUGCAGGAGUUCCCGCCAUGGCUCAGUGGUUAACAAACUCAAUUAGUAUCCAUGAGGACAUGGGUUCAAUCCCUGGCCUUGCUCAGCGGGUUGGGGAUCGGGCACUGCUGUGAACUGUGCUGUAGGUUGCAGGUGCGGCUUGGAUCCAGCAUUGAAAUGACUGUGGUGUAGGCCGGCAGCUACAGGUCCGAUUAGACCCCUAGCCUGGGAGCCCUCCAUACGCUCUAGGUGUGGCCCUAAAAAGACAAAAAGACAAAAAAAUAAAAGAAAUUAAGGUGCACAUUUCAUAGGCAGACACUUCAUCAAGCACGGUCCUGUUCCCUUUGCUAAUCGUUUCAUGCCUGUGCUUCCUGCCUUCCCAGCCAUCCUGAGACCAUCUUGAGGGUAUGGACUGCAGCUUCUAGUUCUCUGUUAAGCCCAGGGUUCUGAGCAUCACAGUGAGGGCUGGAUUCAUAUCAGCUGGUUGUCUCAGCAUCAUCUCCACCAACCUGAGGCACAGGUGCUUCUCCAGGGCAUUUUCCAAGGGGGAAAGUCCAGGAUAAAGUCCCUGACCCCAAGUCUUUAUCUUACACCUGAAAAUACCCUUUCCCCCAACAAGGACACACUCACAGGCCUCCAGCAUUAGGGCCUGACAUCUUUGGGGGAUGCUUCGCCUACUGCACCACCGCCCACCACCUCUUCUGACCUCGAACGAGUGUCCAAGGGUCCCAGAUCAGCCUCUCUGAGUCGUGCUUAUCCCUCUGAGGUACAGGAAUGACUUUUAUGGAUCCGUUGGCUUCUUCACAGAGUGGUGGUGAGGACUGAGAGGUAAUAUAUAUAUUGAAAGCAUUUUCUAAGCUGUAAAGCCCCACACAAAUGCAAGACAACAUUAUUGCACUGGGAGCGUGGCAAGUUCAACACUUGAGAAAACUAUCAGAUUUUAAAACAUGUGAGGGAAUAGGAAACCAAUGUUAUUCCAAAACCUCAUUUACACCCCACACCAAAGCCUCCCACUCUCCCUGCCUCCGCUCUCCCCUGUGGCUAUAGGGGUGUGACAGAGGCCUGUCUUGGGGGUGGCUUUGUGGCCUGAAAACAAAUCAUUCUUCACAGCUGGCUCCCCGAGUCCAAUAAGCCAGAAGGAAUUGGUAGAGAGAUUUAACGAUAUGUAUUUCAAGAAAAAGAUGAAAAUGUGUCUACUUUUAGGAGAUGCAGUAAAAAUGCAUCAGCCCCACAAUAAACUUGGCAGUGAAGAUGCAUAGAAGGCACACAUAUAAUGCAGUCAGGGCAGUAAUGUCUCAUUUCUAGGGAAAUCCUCUAAGAGAUCAAUUAGAAUUUGCCCCCGCCCAUGCCCUAUACACAGCCUCUGAACACGGUCCCACCCCUCCAGCUACCUCCAGCCUCUGCAGGGGGCCUGUUGGCUCAAAGCAGCUUGUUCCCCGGUCUCCCUUGGAAGUCUCUAGAAGAGAUGUGGGCUGAAACGGUUUGCAAACCAAUUACACGAGAAGUGGGAAACUGUGGCCCCCAGAUCAAACCUGGCUCAUAAAUUACAGCUUUAUUGGAUCACAGCCAUGCUGAUUCCUUCUAUGAUGGCUUUGUUGCUCUAAUAGAAGAGUUUAAUAAUUCUGAUUGAAAUCACAUGGCCUGAAAGUCUAAUAUAUAUAUUAUUGGGCCUUUACAGAAAAAGUUUGUUGACAUCUGAAUAACGCCAUUACGUGAUAGGCUGUCUUUAGGCAAAACUGCCUGUAAAACCAAGAACAGGAUGACAGCUAAUUUUUUUGAGCCCUGUUCUGUGCCACGCAUGGCAUUGUGCCCAUAGGAACAGAAUGUCCCCUUAUUUAUUCUCGCAAGCAGUCCCAUGAGGUAGUAAUGCUAGCAGUAUGGCUAGAGGAGAAAACAGGCUCAGGGAAGCUAAGCAACUUUCUCAAGGUCUCAACCUGGAAAACCGGUAGAACUGGCGUUCACACUCAUGUGCGGCUGAUUCCACCACCCUUGCUCUGGCCGCCACUCUCAAGCAUCUGGUUUCCAGAUGGGCAAUUCGGAGACUCUCUUCCAGUCUCCAGCACCUUGCACUUGUUGAGGAUCUGAUUUUCUGUAUCUAAUGUACCUGCAUCGAAUCUCCCAUCAUUCACCUGCCUGCCGUGGCCGCUCUGCUAAGGAGUGGAGAAAGGGAGCCUUCCAAGCCGUCUUCCUCCCCCUUUCCCACCCUGUGCUCCCCAUCCCUGUGCUCAGUGGAUUUUGUCCCACAUUUCUGCAGGACCCGUGUUGCCGCAGUCUCCCCCGACUGUCCCACUCCUGGGCGAGAUUCUGACUGUUCUGGAGCCUCCAGUCUGCACAGAGGGGGGCGCCAACAGAGCCCUGGGAACAGAGGCAUUUGCAUUCCACUUCCCGGGGCUGUUCUGAUCUUACCUGCAAUUCUUCUGACAAAUUCUUAUCAGCGAUGCCCAUGGCGAAGUCUGUGGUGACUUUGUUCAUUCUUAUUAGCUCUGCAGAUUAGCUCUUCACAGCGCUUGGCUGGUUCAUACCGAUUCCUGAUAAAUGUUUUGACUGAUUUUCCUGACUUGGGAGCAGUUGGGGACUGGGGCUGGGGUGGAGGCAGAAGACCGUGAGGAGAGGGGUGCUGGCGAGGGGAAGGAGAGAAAAUUGUGGCCAGGAUUACAUCUGGGCUAUAAAAUAUUCAUCACAUGCCUGCAAGAGCAGGGUCAGCACCGCUUCCCCAAGAACUGCUCCCUCCACCAGGCAGCACUUUGAAAUGCACCAGCCCGGGCAGGCUGGGAGCAGCCGGGAGAGGCUUCUGAGAGAAGGGGCCAGUGGAAGUUAAAAGGAAGGAAGAACAAACCAGCUCACUUGGGCUUUCCUGUCCUUCUCGGUCCCUCCCUUCUCACCUGCUCUUCAAGAACAGCUUUUGAUGGCAGAAUACUGAUGUUCCGGGUGGGCUUAGCUGCUCCUGUGCUGGGUUCCUCUUCUCCCUUUUGCUGCCCCAAGAAACCUUCCUGAGAAUUUCAGCCCACCCUUCCUCUCCUUUCCAAGAGGUCCUCCAGCUUCCCUCUUUGAGGACUUCAGACAGUGCUAAUAACAGCGUUCCUCACCGUCUCCUGUAUUUCCCCACCUAGACUGGACUUAGAGUCAUGCCCCUCCCAAGACUAGACACGAGGUACCCAUUUGUAACGUCAUGGCUGAAUUAAAUGAGCUCCUUCCCUUUGGCAGAGUUGGCCAGCAGGUACCACCACACCACCAGUGCUGAAGCAAGGCAGGCAUUGCCGAACGACUUCCACACACUUUCUUCUUAAACCAAGAUGAAGUUUUCCCCUUGUUCUUAACAAGAGGUUCCAAGCAGCCACUCCUAAUCCAAUGGAAUCAAGAAGGAAAUAAAAACCUCUUUGCUAUCCUGGUUCUUUGGUACCCCCUGUAACUUCCUUGCAAUCAGGCACUACCUUUAGAGUCUAGGAACCUGGUACUGUGGCCCCAUAUAAAAUAGGAGUUCCUGUCGUGGUGCAGUGGUUCACGAAUCUGACUAGGAGCCAUGAGGUUGCGGGUUCGGUCCCUGCCCUUGCUCAGUGGGUUAACGAUCCGGCGUUGCCAUGAGCUGCGGUGUAGGUUGCAGACGCGGCUCGGAUCCCGCGUUGCUGUGGCUCUGGCGUAGGCCAGUGGCUACAGCUCCGAUUCAACCCCUAGCCUGGGAACCUCCUUAUGCCCAGGGAAGCGGCCCAAAGAAAUAGCAAAAAGACAAAAUAAAUAAAUAAAUAAAUAAAUAAAUAAACCCUGCACCCACAAAAGAAAGCUAUCCAUCACUUUCCGCAGGUAUCCGGUCAAGGCUUACCCUCUAAAAAAUUCUUUCAUGUGUCUAACCCAAGACCCUGCUGCAGUAGAAUUAUAUUCCUGGGCUUUUCUCCCAUGGGAGAAAAAAGUCAGAUGCUUUGAGAAGUGAUGUUCUCACUCACUGCUCUUUCCCACUGCCCGGAAGUUUAAACUCUGGUGCCCAAGCACCUCACUCUGGAAAAACUCGACUCAUGCCAGCCCCAUGCCUGCUCGUGCCAGCUCCCUGGAAAAUGACCCACACCCCCGAAACUAGAAAGAGGCCUGGAGACUCUUGAAGGUCCUCUCUUGCCGCAGCCAAGUUUACUCAUUAGCCUUUCACCAGAUUUAUCUUCUCCCUGGUAGCCUGCAGCGCUUUGAUUUGUCCUGCUGUCACCAGGACUAAUGUUGAUGGCGGCACCCCCCCGGGGGCGUCAGGCUCUCCAGCCUCCUGCCACAGCCCUCGAGGAAAAUGGAUGAGCAACUGACCCGCAAAAUAAAUACCAGACUUCCAGGUUCUGAUAAAGAUUAAAUAUUGGAGGAGUCAUUUCAAAUGAAUAUAUAAAAGCACAUGGAAGAAGCCUUUUAGACUCCGGCAGAGUGACAUACAGGCAAACAAAGAGAGAUGUCUUUGGGGAAGUUCAGUGGCAGGGAAGUUGGAGGCUCCGAAUGCAAUCUGCCCACAAAUACCCUAGCUGCAGGAAGGAUUCCAAAACAGUCAUCCCUCCCUUUCCCUCCACCCUCCCCACCCAGAUCGUGAAGAAGAGAAAGUGCUAAGCUCCAAAAGCCGCGUGCCAGCAUGAUGCUGAAGUCAGCUCUGGCCCAUCCAACCAAGGGAGAAGCCCCAUUACUCAACACCAUCUGCCUUGGGCGUGGAGCAGCCAAGAGCUAGGAUUACGGGCGGGGAUGGGGCUCUGAAGCCCCAAAGGAGAGAGUUACUGGGGAAGAGCAAGGUCAGGCAUCUCUGAGACAGAACGGGGAGGCGGGAGAGAAGCCAGAUGUCAGCAGAUGGAGCCAGUGUUCCUUGAGCCUGGGGCAGAAUGUGGUUUCUGGUCCGAAACAUGUGCAGAUUGAUUGCACAUCCAGAAACGCCCAAUAACCAGAAUCCCAGGAUCCUGUCUCUAGAAUCAAAUGUUGGAAUUCUCUGGAUCAAAGUUCAAGUGCAGUUAGCAUGGAGAUGGAAGGGGAGAGAGGCAGCCUUGAUUUACCUGGUGCCUGCAGUGCUGGGCCACUUACUCCUCCUGACCGUCCUGGGAGAUGGGCACCGGCAUCCAUUCCUUACAGAAAGGAGGCUGAGGCUGCGGCGAACGGAUGGCCACGAGGCUGGCGUUCGUCCCGCUGCCACAUGCUCAGUUCUCCAUCUCAGUCUGGAAGGCAGAGUCUUGGUGGUGGUCCAGGGACAGCUGUCCAAAUUCCUGAGAACCGGGCUCAGUAUCCAGGUCCCUCC